UACGAAGGGGGCGAGCGUUGUUCGGAAUUACUGGGCGUAAAGCGUGCGCAGGCGGUUUUGUAAGUCAGAUGUGAAAUCCCCGGGCUCAACCUGGGAACUGCGUUUGAAACUACAAGGCUAGAGUGUAGCAGAGGGGGGUAGAAUUCCACGUGUAGCAGUGAAAUGCGUAGAGAUGUGGAGGAAUACCAAUGGCGAAGGCAGCCCCCUGGGUUA
RNAcentral lists this ribosomal RNA (213 nucleotides) under uncultured bacterium. Its description in RNAcentral is "partial 16S ribosomal RNA". It matches the Rfam family "Bacterial small subunit ribosomal RNA", at positions 524 to 736 of the family's 1533-position model. The record is from RNAcentral.